This 520-nucleotide ribosomal RNA is filed under the name uncultured Glomeromycotina. Its description in RNAcentral is "SSU rRNA". It matches the Rfam family "Eukaryotic small subunit ribosomal RNA", at positions 569 to 1089 of the family's 1831-position model. Lineage: Eukaryota; Fungi; Glomeromycota. The record is from RNAcentral.
AGCAGCCGCGGUAAUUCCAGCUCCAAUAGCGUAUAUUAAAGUUGUUGCAGUUAAAAAGCUCGUAGUUGAAUUUCGGGGUUAGUAGGUUGGUCGUGCCACUGGUAUGUACUGGUUCUACUGAUCCCUCCUUCUUGUAGAACCGUAAUGCCAUUCACUUGGUGUUGCGGGGAAACAGGACUGUUACUUUGAAAAAAUUAGAGUGUUUAAAGUAGGCUAACGCUUGAAUACAUUAGCAUGGAAUAAUGAAAUAGGACGUUCGAUCCUAUUUUGUUGGUUUCUAGGAUUGACGUAAUGAUUAAUAGGGAUAGUUGGGGGCAUUAGUAUUCAAUUGUCAGAGGUGAAAUUCUUGGAUUUAUUGAAGACUGACUACUGCGAAAGCAUUUGCCAAGGAUGUUUUCAUUAAUCAAGAACGAAAGUUAGGGGAUCGAAGACGAUCAGAUACCGUCGUAGUCUUAACCAUAAACUAUGCCGACUAGGGAUCGGAUGAUGUUAAUUUUUAAUGUACUCUAUUCGGCGUCCU